AUUGUAAAUUUAAUAAUUUCUUAAAAUAAAUCCAAGUGCACAAAUGGCAAAAUGUGGAUUGCAUUUAAUAUUUUCCACAAAGAUAAAAAUGAAAACAAAAAAAUAAAAUAUGAUAUCAUAGUCAACUUUUGAGAAAAUUUAAAAUCGGUUAUCUAACCGGGUUGUCGAAGGUAAGAACAUAGGAUAAUGGACAGAGAAAGAACCGGAGGCAGAGCACUAAAGAAGCUGUUACCCAUAAUAGUAUAAUAGGCAAGAAUUCUUAGCGUAGCUAUGUGUUCGGGCUUGCCUAACUGUAUUAAAAUUAAACAAAAAUUCUUUACGUGCUUACCCAAAGCUUUAGACGGUUUACACAAAACAUUUGACCAAAUUUAUGUAUUCUUCAAAUAUGUAAUUGAAAUAAAAAGUUAUAAGAUGGUCAACCUAACAAAGAGAACAAGGUUGAAAAAAUUAAAAAUUAUUUUUUUGUGGUUUUUUUU
RNAcentral lists this long non-coding RNA (476 nucleotides) under Panax ginseng (ginseng). RNAcentral describes it as "long non-coding RNA (PGIN_LNC001270)". The record is from RNAcentral. Lineage: Eukaryota; Viridiplantae; Streptophyta; Magnoliopsida; Apiales; Araliaceae.